AGUGAACGCUGGCGGCAGGCCUAACACAUGCAAGUCGAACGGCAGCACAGUAAGAGCUUGCUCUUACGGGUGGCGAGUGGCGGACGGGUGAGGAAUACAUCGGAAUCUACUUUUUCGUGGGGGAUAACGUAGGGAAACUUACGCUAACACCGCAUACGACCUACGGCUGAAAGCAGGGGAUCUUCGCACCUUGCGCGAUUGAAUGAGCCGAUGUCGGAUUAGCUAGUUGGCGGGGUAAAGGCCCACCAAGGCGACGAUCCGUAGCUGGUCUGAGAGGAUGAUCAGCCACACUGGAACUGAGACACGGUCCAGACUCCUACGGGAGGCAGCAGUGGGGAAUAUUGGACAAUGGGCGCAAGCCUGAUCCAGCCAUACCGCGUGGGUGAAGAAGGCCUUCGGGUUGUAAAGCCCUUUUGUUGGGAAAGAAAAGCAGCAGGUUAAUACCCCGCUAUUCUGACGGUACCCAAAGAAUAAGCACCGGCUAACUUCGUG
RNAcentral lists this ribosomal RNA (492 nucleotides) under uncultured bacterium. Its description in RNAcentral is "partial 16S ribosomal RNA". It matches the Rfam family "Bacterial small subunit ribosomal RNA", at positions 29 to 507 of the family's 1533-position model. The record is from RNAcentral.